This 52-nucleotide transfer RNA is filed under the name Schizopera knabeni. Its description in RNAcentral is "tRNA-Tyr". The record is from RNAcentral. Lineage: Eukaryota; Metazoa; Arthropoda; Copepoda; Harpacticoida; Miraciidae.
UGCAAGCAAGCACAUACUGUAAAUAUGUUAACUGAGUCUCUCUCGCUUGUAA